GACGGAGGAUGCAAGCGUUAUCCGGAAUGAUUAGGCGUAAAGCGUGCGCAGGCGGUUAUGUAAGACAGGGGUGAAAUCCCCGGGCUUAACCUGGGAACUGCAUUUGUGACUGCAUAGCUAGAGUACGGUAGAGGGGGAUGGAAUUCCGCGUGUAGCAGUGAAAUGCGUAGAUAUGCGGAGGAACACCGAUGGCGAAGGCAAUCCCCUGGACCUGUACUGACGCUCAUGCACGAAAGCGUGGGGAGCAAACAGG
This 253-nucleotide ribosomal RNA is filed under the name uncultured bacterium. RNAcentral describes it as "partial 16S ribosomal RNA". It matches the Rfam family "Bacterial small subunit ribosomal RNA", at positions 524 to 776 of the family's 1533-position model. The record is from RNAcentral.